ACCUCUCGAAAAAACCCUCUUCAUCUCUCUCCCUCUCUCUAGGAACCCAAAUUCUUGAUGAAAAUUACUCUCUGGGAAAAUCUCUCACCUCCCGCCAGAUCCAACAGCUGGCCUCAAAGGGCACCCAAAACUACGGGAUCAAUGUCGUUUUGACAUCGUCUGAUGUUCUUGUUGAUGGGUUUUGCAUGAACCAGUGCGGGACCCACGGCUCAUCCAACAGCGGUAGUCAAAUCAGAGGAUCAAAAACCAAGUUUACUUACAUUUGGGUUGGAAACUCAGAGACCCAAUGCCCAGGGCAAUGCGCGUGGCCGUUCCACCAGCCCAUCUAUGGACCCCAGAGCCCACCUCUCGUGGCCCCCAACAACGACGUGGGCCUGGAUGGCAUUGUGAUCAACCUCGCUAGUCUUUUGGCAGGGACCGUGACCAACCCCUUCGGAAAUGGCUACUUCCAGGGUCCGAAGGAGGCUCCUUUGGAAGCUGCUUCCGCUUGCCCCGGGGUCUACGGCAAGGGGUCCUACCCUGGUUACGCUGGGGACCUACUAGUGGACCCCACAACCGGAGCUAGCUACAAUGCUCAUGGAUCUAAUGGGAAGAAGUACUUGCUUCCUGCUUUGUACGACCCUUCGACUUCAACUUGUUCUACUUUGGUUUAGAGGAAAUAUGAAUUAAUAUUAGGGUAUAUGUACAAUACUAAAGGGAGUAUAAACAUUAGGGAGCUGUAUUUUGGUAUUUAAAUAUUUUUUUAUUCUUUUGUAUCACAUUAAAAAAUAAUAAAACUACAUUAUUUUGUUAUUCUUUUAAUCCUUAUCUGCAUGGUAUUAUUUUGUCAUGUUUAGUUAUCUUGGGGUAUGUCACAAGGUCUACCACAAAAAUCAAUUCUAAUGGUACACGUGGCAAAAUACAUAUAGAAUUAAUCUACAACUCAAAAGAGGUGGACAGUAACUUCUUCAUGAAAAUAAAAUACAAAUUACAGUAUGAUAUUAUGUACACAAAUAUUUCAUUAAAACCAUAAAAUGAUAGUUUCUCUGCGCAUGCCAAAAUUUGAUUUGUUUAAAAGGGUUACGAGUUAUACAAAGGCAAGUAUUUUCCAAAAUUACCAAACUUAGACAUAAUUCCCACUUUUACUACCGAAUUUAUUAGUUCAAAAAAAAAAAAAACAAUUUUUGAACAAACUAUACAUUAUAUAGUUUGAGUUUUAUGUUAAAAUUCAAAGUAAAUGAAAGGUGUAGAUUGACUUUAAUACAUAAUUUCUGCAAUUAAAUUAGUAACAUUAUUGUUAUCAUGUCACAUAAUAUUAAUUACUAGCCAUAUAUAUGAUAAUGCGUAAUAUAACUGUAACAUACAAUAAUUUUCGCACGGUUGAGAAGCUAGAAAUAAUGUAUACAUCAACAUGUUCCUCUUAUACAAUGUAUGCAUGUCCCUUCUCCUCUCUUCUUUUGUUUGUCAAAAUUAUUGUUUAUGUCCUUGCAAACCAUUAUUCCUUUGAGCACAGUCGACACGGUCCAAGGAGCUAGCCGACCAUACAAACCCAAUUCCAUAAAUCUGAUGACUUCCACAUGCCGCAUAUUUGGCGGUGAACUAGCCGACCAUCCACUUAUCGACAGACACUCCUCUCUAAGACAAGGGAUCUUUAUUUUUAUUUUUCAGAAAAUAUGGAAUAGGAGUGGAACACACUCUACAUCACACUUCAACGAUCCGAACCGUCUAUUUUGUAAGUUUCGAUUCAUAGAUUAUCCUGCAAAAAUUCAAUUCAAUCCAAAAUUAUUUACAUAUUAUAUUUCUGUUAUCACAAUGAUGUUUCAUUGGUUCUUAUAAAACAAAUUGUUCAUCAAUUUUUUUGAACUCUAUUAGAUGUCUCAAAUAUUUUCCAUUUGGCUUAAGAUUUUGUAAGGAUGAUCAAAGAAUGGUUUGAAUCAUUGAAAUUUGAUGUGGUGUGAGCCCCACAACUAUUCUCCAUUAAAAAAAAAAGGGUUUUUAGCCAAAUUGAUCCCUGAGAUUUGCAUAACUCUUUACUUUGGUCUAUGAGAUUUGAAAUAGAUAGAAUUGGUCCCUGAGUUUGUCCACAAUCAAUCAUUUUGGUCAUUCCGUGAAAAAUCUCCAUAAAAUAAGAAUAAAAUAACAAAAAUAUCUUCAAUUUUGGUCAAAUGAUUUUGGCCUAUUGCUUAUUAAAUUGAGGGUAGUUUUGUCAUUUUGAUCCUUAUUUAACAUAAUUUUUCACCUACUGACCAAAAUGAUUGCUAGUGAACAAUUUUAGGGACCACUUCUAUUAAUUUCAAAUAUUAGGGACCAAAAUGAAGAGUUAUCCAAAUCUUAUAGACAAUUUUGGCUAAAAAGAGAGUUCAUUCCCUUAAAGGUCUCUUAUCUACAUAUACACCCUUGGGCAGCACACAUGUGCACAACUCAUUGUUAGAGAAAAUGUAGAAAUAUAGAGAAUAAUCCGAAAGAUGACUUUGAGGUACAACUUGAAUCGUUUCCUUAAAGUGUUAUUUGCCUCCACUUGAAUGAGUUUGCUAAAGGGUUCUUGGCAAAUAAUUUCCAGGAUACAACAAAGUAUGAAAUAUUCGAUUAGCAAAACUGAAUUAUAUUCCACUAGAAAUAAAUAGAAAUAAAUUGUAUGAAUGUGAUGGAGAGAGAAGAGAGAGCAAGGAAAUUGUGUAUACAACAAAUAUUUGAAUAAUUCCUUUUCUACUAAUAUCACCAAUAUACAUAGAGAGAAUUGCACCUUUUAGACAUAUCUUUUGGUUUUGGGUGUGUCAUCUCACCAUGAGAUACAACUGAACAUUGCAACAAUGUUUCUAAUGGAUAUGUCUGAUACAAAAGGCGUAAAGGAAUGCAUAUGUACGGGAUGCAUUAUGUCUUUUCGCCAAUAGAUAAAAGGUGCACUGUUUCAUUUCAAAAGGUGUCAUUAUUGGGUUGAAUCCCAUCCGGUCAAACAGCCACAUAUAUAUAUAUAUAUAUAUAUAUAUAUAUGUUACAUUAUAUUAUAUUCUUAAAAUAUUCAACAAUCCUUCCCUAUUUUAAGAACAUAUAUAGAAAAUAAUAUUACAACAAUUCUCUCUUUAUAAUUAUCACAAGCAUACUGAUAUAAUCAUGCAUACAAUAAAGGUGUCUUUCGAAUUAAACCUUUAAUUAGUGUAAGCAAUUCAAAGUUAUAACGAAUGCGAGGGUGACCUAAGUUUAUACCAACUAUUCUUAUGUUAAAACCAGAAUUACUACACACAUGACUAUGUCUUAUUUCCUUAAAGAAAUUUCUGAACUAAUUAAGCACUAUUAUGACCUUGUGCUUCAUCCUGGUUUCACAAAUAUUUACAAGAGAAAACCCAACUCUUGGUAGAAGCGGCACCAUUUCUUAUGUUCAUAUAGGUGAGGUUCAUUCCCAUGUCCCUGCUACUAUAGACAUAAUUACAAAUAACCUCAUUAAGAGAUAAAACUCGUCCUCCUAAACGUAGCAGUCUUGCAUUGAUCAUCCUGGAAUGAGCUAUAUAUUAAUUUUCAGUGCUUUCACAAUCACUUAUCAAUAACUUGUUAUUACCUAUUAAACUUUUAAACUAGUGAUGUUCUAGAUAAAGUCGGGUUACCAUUAUUGGUGGCUAAUUUUCAAUAAAGGGUUUUAGCCCCAUUCCACUGGAUGUACUACCUACCAAAGCUCUUUAAAGUGCUUUCGUUAACGGAUCCACCAAGUUAUUACUUGAUUUAACAUAAAUAAUAUUAAUAACUCCAUCAGUUAUUAAUUGCUUGACAUAUUCAUGUCUCAAGCUAACAUGUCUAGACUUUCAAUUGUAUACCUUAUUAUAUACUCUAGACAAAGUAACUUCACUAUCACAGUAUAAAGAAAUGGAUGGCAUUGGUUAUGGUUACAACUCUAUUUCCAAUAGCAAAUUUCUAAUCCAUUCCGCUUCUUUACCUGCUGUUGCUAAAGCUAUAAAUUCAGAUUCCAUAGUUGAAUGUGCUAUACAUGUUUGCUUCUUCGAAGCCUAAGAAAUUGCUCCUCCGGCAAUUGUAAAAAUCCACCUUGAUGUAGACUUAUUAUCAUUAGCACUUGUUAUCCAACUUGCAUCUGAAUAUCCUUCAAGUACUGCUAGAAAUUCAGAGUAAGUUAAACUCAGGUUAAUAGUUUUUUUAAGAUAACCAAAAAUUCUAUUUAUUGCUUUCCAACAAGCAGUACCUGGAUUACUAGUGUAUCUAGAAAGUUUGUUUACUGCAAAUGCGAUAUCUGGCCUGGUACAAUGCAUGGCAUACAUUAAACUUCCAAUUACACUAACAUACUCAAGCUGUGCAACAGACCUACCAGAAUUAUUAAACAAAGUUUCACUAGGGUCAUAAGGGGUAUUUGUUUCUUAUUUGUAGAUGCUUAAACUUAAGAAGCAAUUUUUCUAUAUAAUGUGACUAACAUAAAGCGUAACCCCUAUUAUGCUUCUUUGCCUUAAUUCCCAAGAUAGUAUCCAUUUCAUUCAAGUCCUUUAUUGGUACCAUAUUAUAUUGGGCCUCCGUAUUUAGACCUUGUAUAAAUACUCGGGGGACUCAAAUGUAAUUAUGUAAUAAAUGAAUGGGCAAAUAUGUAAUAAGUGAUGAGCUCUUAUGCUAUAAAAAGACUCCUCACUCUCCUCAUUAGGGGAGGUCAAAUUUAGGCCAUGGGAAGAGAGAAAAUAGGCUAGAGAGCACACUGCCUCUAGCCUCCUAUAUAUAUUCACCAUUCAUAGUGAAACAAUAUCAACAUCAGUGUGGACGUAGCCUAAACAUUGGGGAGAACCAUAAUACAUCUUCUGUUUUCUACUUUCUUGCAGAUUCAUGAUCGGAUUUACGCUGUUCCAAGACCUUUCGGUUUUGUGCAUCAACAUUUGGCGCCGUCUGUGGGAAUCGACACAAAAAACUAUGUCGGUUUUCUUUCUUUUUUUCACCUUCGCCGUGAAUUUGAAGAAACCAAACACCUGCACAGUCACUGCAAAACGGCAUCGAUGGAAACACAGAGCUAUCUCUCUCUUUCCUCGCUUUCAACAUACAAUUACAGAGAGCACAGAGCGAUAAACGCACGUACGUAGAUACAGAAGAGUGGUCGUACGUAGAGGAUAAUGGCCCUCCGCCGUACUGGAUUGAGGAUUGAGGUCGCACGCAAAGGAUAAUGGCCCUCCGCCGUCCGGGGCUUCUCUUCCCCCACUUUUUCUUCCAUGUGUUAUUUAUUCUGGGUGUAGCAUAUGCUGCUCAGACCUCCGUGGUCAUUCCAUAUUUGCUGGUAUAUCAGAUACACCAAAUAAUCUCUCCGUAUAUGAAAUGGGAAAUUGUGUGUUUAAAGAGCUUCGAGAGGCAGAAGAGAUGGUGAAAGUCGUGACAUACAGUGGGGGAAUAAUAGAGCUCUUUGCCCCCAUCACAACUAACUCUAUAACCAAUGAGUUCCCAGGCCAUGCCAUCUUCCACAGCCCUGACCUCUUCGCGCAACUUCCUCUCCACAACGAAGAGCUUCAUCCUAAAGAGCUUUACUAUCUCCUACCUCUCAACCCCUACAAAACCCCAAAAAAUCAUGAUAUUAAUGCAAACCCUAACGACAUUGUUUGUACACCGUAUCGCAUGUCAUGUGACAAUCAAGGCAAGAGGCCGGCAGAUCCUGAAGUUUUUCCGAGGUACAACAGUAGUGGGGUUUGGAAGGUGAAGCUGGUGAUAAGUCCAGAGCAGCUCUCUGACAUUUUGUCGCAGGAAGCUCGCACUGAGGCUUUGAUUAAAAGCAUGAGGAUAGUGGCCAAGUGUGGCACCGGAAGGAACUCAUCGGUGGCAAGUUCCGAUCAGUGGAGUCUGUCUAGUAGGUGGAAUGAGCUAUCAUCGUGAAAGUUGAAGUUUGGAUGGUCAUGUAGAGAGGCGAAGAAAUGUCGUUGCAAACUUUGAAGAACAACAAAGUAUGGAAGGAGCUAUCAUCGAAUGAGUUUGCUAAAGGGUUCUUAGCAAAUCACUUCCAGGAUCCAACAAAGUAUGGACUAUUCGAUUAGCAAAACCGAAUUAUAUUCCAUUAGAAAUAACUAGAAAUAAAUUGUAUGAAUGUGAUGGAGAGAGAAGAGAGAGCAAGGAAAUUGUGUAUACAACAAAUUUCUGAAUAAUUAUUUUUCUACUAAUAUCACCAAUAUAUAUAGAGAGAAUUGCACAUUUUAGACAUAUCUUUUGGUUUUGGGUGUGUCCUCUCACCAUGAGAUACAACUGAACAUUGCAACAAUGUUUCUAAUGGAUAUGUCUGAUACAAGAGACGUAAAGGAAUGCAUAUGUACGGGAUGCAUUAUGUCUUUUCGCCAAUAGAUAAAAGGUGUACUGUUUCAUUUCAAAAGGUGUGAUUAUUGGGUUGAAUCCCAUCCUGUCAAACAGCCGCAUAUAUAUAUAUAUAUAUAUAUAUAUAUAUAUAUAUAUAUAUAUAUUACAUUAUAUUAUAUUCUUAAAAUAUUCAACACUCAUGCACCCACCAGUCUCCAAUCAGCGAAAAUGACUUACAUUGCAUGAGUACACUGUUAUAUUGAUGUUUUGUGUUGAUGAGAUAAAAGGUAUGUAUAAAUAUUUGUACAUAUAUCCUUAUUUUAUUAGCAAAAAAAAUCUCGAUAUACCCAUGUUAUUUAAGUUCUUCUUCGAAUACACAUGUGCAUAAUUAACUAAGGGGAUACACACGUGCAUAAUUAACUAAGGGGUGUGCUAUCCACACAUUCUUUUUUACUUCUCACACACCCCUUGCUAAUUUCUGUCCGUUGAUCUUCUUCAAUUCAUUCGAUCCGAUGGCCGAAAACAAAAAAGAUGUGGGACAAGUAAAAAGGAGUGUGUGGAUAUCACACCCCAUUAACUAAUUCAACUGACCUAGUUUAGUGCCUGACGAAGCUCAGGUUGUCGCAAUUUAGCCCCGACCACUCACCUCUCACAACUCAACACUAUCGCUGGGUGUGUAGAACUUUCCAUCAUUCCGACCUAUGAAAUAGCUGUUCAUAUAAACACUGUAUAUGUAGCCCAUUUUAGUUCCGAAGGCUGCUCACCUCUACGCUACCAUUAGUUUAACAGCUUAUUAGUCAUCUUUUAUACGACAAAGUGUUGCUAUAUAAGAAAAAAAAAUGAAAUUCAAACUCGGACUAUACUAAGAUUGAUAAAUAUUGCCACAUAAAGUGGGGAAUAUAUUAACAUUUGAUAAAUCUGGUUUAUGUAUCAUUCACCAACCUGCUCAAGCAAAGACAAAGCUAGAAAUCAGUUUAAAGGGGCGACUUGUUUAUUUUGACAAAUGAUAAUCUACACUAAAUUUAUUUAAACUACGGGGUGAGGGGCUAGGAAGGGUGGACCUAGAUGCAGUGAGUUAAGACAAAUGACCUAUUCAUCAAAAUAACCCACCACUUACAAUAAAUGGAUGACUUCGAAUAAUGAGAUACGAUUAAAGAAUCAACAAACUAAUACACAUAUAAAAUCAAUUUUAUUUAUUUAUUUCUCCAUUUAUUUUUUCAUUUUAAAAGGUGGGGUUUCAGAUCUAUAUUUGACCAGAUGCACCCGUUAAUAGAAGUGAACUUUUUCAUUUAGUCACACCCUCGACCACAUAAAGUCCACCAUACCUUUGAAAUAAGGGUAUACACAAAAACAAGCAAACAAAAACGGACAGGUAUUUUCCUCCUCCUCCUUGACAGUGAGAGCAGUGAGCUCUAAACUAUGUCCUCUUCAUCUACAUUAUUGUGCUAUCUUUUUAUUUGUCCUUAAUUUAAUAGCUGGCUCAGCGAUGUCCUUGAUCAAAAGUCCUCAGACCCUGUCCUUCCGCAAACCCAAAAUUUUAAAAUACGCAUCGCAUUGUCCUACUGGCCUCUCGCACUCUCCCUUUUACCUUCUUUCUUUAAGUUUUAAGUCAAUACCCUUCACCUCAUUCCAUGCACUUUCUUCCUCCCCAACUUUUUAGCCCUAUAUAUUCACUCUCACCUCCUCACUUCAUUUCCAUCCCACUCCAUAAGAUCUUCAGCUCCAUUAAGAUCCCAAGCACCAAAUUUGAUCACCCUUUUUUAGAAAAAAAUCCAUGGCAGCGUUUGCAAUUUUGAAACUAGUCUUUGAUAUUUCUCUGUUUCAUUUCAGCUCAGCAGCUAGGAACCUUGCUGAAACUUCUGACCAAAACCAAAUGCAAUUCCACUACCACAACGACCAUCUCCUUACCGGAAAAUUCUCAACUUGAUCUGGUACGGCCGCUUCACCCCCUCCCAGCGUGCAGUCGUUUCUGAUUUUCUCAUCUCCCUAUUUAAACCCACCUCUGACCAACCGUCCGUCGGUACAUGGUGGAAGUCCAUAGAGAAAUACUACCACCUCUCGAAAAAGCCCACUUCAUCUCUCGCCCUGUCUCUGGGAACCCAAGUUCUUGAUGAGAAUUACUCUAUAGGAAAAUCCCUCACUUCCCGCCAGAUCCAACAGCUGGCCUCAAAGGGCGCCCAAAACUACGGGAUCAAUGUCGUUUUGACAUCGUCUGAUGUC
This 8448-nucleotide long non-coding RNA is filed under the name Malus domestica (apple). RNAcentral's name for it is "long non-coding RNA (MDOM_LNC007674)". Lineage: Eukaryota; Viridiplantae; Streptophyta; Magnoliopsida; Rosales; Rosaceae. The record is from RNAcentral.